GCAACCAGGAAGACCGAAAUGGCAGUUUCUCUUCUCAUCCUGGACAGGCACCGGGUGCCGGGAAAGGAAAGCAGAUGGGAAAGUUAGAAGAAUCCUCCCGUGCCUGCAGCCUUUCUUCUGGCCUCUAACCUAAAGAAAACAACCCUUGAGCCUAAGAAACUGGAGAAUCUUCACAUCUAUUGCCAUCAGGGAAGGCAUACCGGAGCUGGGAGUCUGUGUGACUUUUCUUAAAUUAAGUGAGUGUGAAAAGAAGAGGGUUAAGGUCCAGUUUGAAUCAAACACUUCCUAUGUGAGAGUCCUGUGGAUUUCAUGAUGGUGAGUGUGAGGCACAGCUUAAACAGAGAUGUAAAAGGCUGCAGGGAAAAGGGAAAAAUCGAGAACAAAAUGGAUUUCAAGGAGAUGCUGCUGGGUGCAGCUGUUACUGCAUUUUAAAGAGUCACUUACUUUAAUUGAGGGGGCAAUAGAAUAAUAAUACUGUGCAAUAAUGAUGUGCCUUUGUAUGAGACACUUGGAAACCUCCCCAUGCAUGAUGCAAUGUG
This 539-nucleotide small RNA is filed under the name Rattus norvegicus (Norway rat). RNAcentral describes it as "ubiquitin and ribosomal protein L40-like (LOC100359711)". Lineage: Eukaryota; Metazoa; Chordata; Mammalia; Rodentia; Muridae. The record is from RNAcentral.